CCCCAGAGCAGUAUAUUCUGUAUACCAGGCUGGCUAUGUGUGCAUUGUUACCCCCAGAGCAGUAUAUUCUGUAUACCAGGCUGGCUAUGUGUGCAUUGUUACCCCAGAGCAGUAUAUUCUGUAUACUAGGCUGGCUAUGUGUGCAUUGUUACCCCCAGAGCAGUAUAUUCUGUAUACCAGGCUGGCUAUGUGUGCAUUGUUACCCCAGAGCAGUGUAUUCUGU
This 223-nucleotide long non-coding RNA is filed under the name Pelobates cultripes (western spadefoot toad). Lineage: Eukaryota; Metazoa; Chordata; Amphibia; Anura; Pelobatidae. The record is from RNAcentral.